GAUGAACGCUGGCGGCGUGCCUAAUACAUGCAAGUCGAGCGAACAGACGAGGAGCUUGUUCCUUCGACGUUAGCGGCGGACGGGUGAGUAACACGUAGGUAACCUACCUAUAAGUCUGGGAUAACUUCGGGAAACCGGAGCUAAUACCGGAUAAUACUUCGAACCGCAUGGUUCGAUAGUGAAAGAUGGCUUUGCUGUCAUUUAUAGAUGGCCUUGCGCCGUAUUAGCUAGUUGGUAAGGUAACGGCUUACCAAGGCAACGAUCGGUAGCCGACCUGAGAGGGUGAUCGGCCACACUGGAACUGAGACACGGUCCAGACUCCUACGGGAGGCAGCAGUAGGGAAUCUUCCGCAAUGGGCGAAAGCCUGACGGAGCAAGGCCGCGUGAGUGAUGAAGGUCUUCGGAUCGUAAAACUCUGUUAUUAGGUAAGAACAAACGUGUAAGUAACUGUGGACGUCUUGACGGUACCUAAACAGAAAGCCACGGCUAACUACGUG
This 497-nucleotide ribosomal RNA is filed under the name uncultured bacterium. RNAcentral's name for it is "partial 16S ribosomal RNA". It matches the Rfam family "Bacterial small subunit ribosomal RNA", at positions 28 to 507 of the family's 1533-position model. The record is from RNAcentral.